GGGGCGUAGCUAGAACGAAACGAUGUGCAAGCAACUACCGCCGAGCGGAGCGAGGCGAAAAAUUUUUGGGACCCUUUUAUGCAGAUUUUUUUUUUUUUUUUUUUCGGUUUUCGGUCAUAGGACGGUUAAAAGAGGAGCUACAUGUAGAAAGGACUUAUAAACAAUUUAUGAAUGAAAACUAUUAAUUAAUCUUCUGAAUAGAGUAAAUCCUGGUAAAUUGAAUACAUAAACAACACAUUUUUGUGAUACCGAAAUUACUCAAAAUUGUCCAAAAUCUGCUCUUCGGGUCUAGGCAGAAACGAACUUCUCUAUUACUUUGUCAAUAUUAACACUGAAUUCCCGAUGAAUAUGCAGUAAUGCUAGCGAUGAUAACCUGUCGUUGUUCAUUGUUGAUCGUACAUUUGCAAGUUUUCAACAGACGUAGUACCUUGAUAUAUCUCCACGGUAGCACUCGCGAGGUGUUAUAAAUCAACGUACGUGUUCGCCAUCGAGCGACCUCCCAAUUGAAUUCGUCAAAAUUACAUGCCAGGUCAGUUUCGUAUGUCUCAGAGAUUUCUUCGUUUAUUAUAUUUCCAACAACACAAGGAAGCAGAU
This 594-nucleotide long non-coding RNA is filed under the name Mytilus galloprovincialis (Mediterranean mussel). Lineage: Eukaryota; Metazoa; Mollusca; Bivalvia; Mytilida; Mytilidae. The record is from RNAcentral.